RNAcentral lists this ribosomal RNA (465 nucleotides) under uncultured bacterium. Its description in RNAcentral is "partial 16S ribosomal RNA". It matches the Rfam family "Bacterial small subunit ribosomal RNA", at positions 28 to 507 of the family's 1533-position model. The record is from RNAcentral.
GAUGAACGCUGGCGGCGUGCUUAACACAUGCAAGUCGAACGGAAAGGCUCCUGCUUGCAGGGGUACUCGAGUGGCGAACGGGUGAGUAACACGUGGGUGAUCUGCCCUGCACUUCGGGAUAAGCCUGGGAAACUGGGUCUAAUACCGGAUAGGACCACAUUUUGGAUGGUGUGGUGGAAAGUUUUUCGGUGUGGGAUGAGCUCGCGGCCUAUCAGCUUGUUGGUGGGGUAAUGGCCUACCAAGGCGUCGACGGGUAGCCGGCCUGAGAGGGUGUACGGCCACAUUGGGGCUGAGAUACGGCCCAGACUGCUACGGGAGGCAGCAGUGGGGAAUAUUGCACAAUGGGCGCAAGCCUGAUGCAGCGGCGCCGCGUGGGGGAUGACGGCCUUCGGGUUGGAAACUCCUUUCGCUAGGGACGAAGCGAAAGUGACGGUACCUGGAGAAGAAGCACCGGCUAACUACGUG